RNAcentral lists this ribosomal RNA (460 nucleotides) under uncultured bacterium. Its description in RNAcentral is "partial 16S ribosomal RNA". It matches the Rfam family "Bacterial small subunit ribosomal RNA", at positions 338 to 795 of the family's 1533-position model. The record is from RNAcentral.
CCUACGGGUGGCAGCAGUGAGGAAUAUUGGUCAAUGGACGAGAGUCUGAACCAGCCAAGUAGCGUGAAGGAUGACUGCCCUAUGGGUUGUAAACUUCUUUUAUAUGGGAAUAAAAUGUUCCACGUGUGGGAUUUUGUAUGUACCCUAUGAAUAAGGAUCGGCUAACUCCGUGCCAGCAGCCGCGGUAAUACGGAGGAUCCGAGCGUUAUCCGGAUUUAUUGGGUUUAAAGGGAGCGUAGGUGGAUUGUUAAGUCAGUUGUGAAAGUUUGCGGCGCAACCGUAAAAUUGCAGUUGAAACUGGCAGUCUGGAGUACAGUAGAGGUGGGCGGAAUUCGUGGUGUAGCGGUGAAAUGCUUAGAUAUCACGAAGAACUCCGAUUGCGAAGGCAGCUCACUGGACUGCAACUGACACUGAGGCUCGAAAGUGUGGGUAUCAAACAGGAUUAGAUACCCCAGUAGUC